This is a long non-coding RNA of Hypanus sabinus (Atlantic stingray), 613 nucleotides long. RefSeq lists it as uncharacterized. NCBI's taxonomy places the organism in Eukaryota, Metazoa, Chordata, Chondrichthyes, Myliobatiformes, Dasyatidae. The record is from RefSeq and is a predicted model, not a curated record. The transcript has 4 exons.
CUCACUGGAUUAAUGCAGUUAGCUCUGCUCUCAUUAUGCAUUGUUUGCUUUGGAUGCAGUGGAGUUCGGGUGUACUGGAAUAAUUCUAGGCAUGAAAGAAGGAAGUUUAAACUGAUUGGGUGAAUACUUUCUACUGUUUUGAAGAACUAAAGAAUUUCAGAUGGUGACAAGGAGAAGGCAUACAGGAGCAAGGUUACCAGACUCCAUUUGUGAUGCAACAUGCCAGGAAUUCUUUCAUCGUCAACUUCAGCACCUUCAAUUCAGAACAAUUUUCUGCAUGGGCCUGGCCUGACAAACUAGCCCUGACUUAACUCCAUCCUGGACAGUCCCAAGUCCAGCUACAAAGGAAGCAGGAUUGGACAUAGGGCUAGCAACACCAUCCUGUUAAAAACCCAAAGCUACAGAACUGGCAACAGAAGCUCCAAAGAUCUCAUGCCUGGGAGAGGAAGGAUAUUCAAACAAGGGCUAUGUUGUGUAUUUAAUAUUUCAGUAAUAUAUGAGUAACAUUGCAAAUGUAUUAUUUGACUAAGCAUUCUUUGUUGUUGAAAUAUUUCAUUAUGGGUUAUAUGUAAAAGUAUGUGCAGAGCAUACAUCAUCAGAAUGCUAUGUCAUA